UGUUAAAAAUUUCAUCCAUUUUUACUAUAAAAAAUUGGUGUAGCUAGCGGUAUAGCUAGACAGUUAUACGUGACGUGUCAAAUAUACCUCAUGCUAAUGUACGAGGACAAGUUUUCAACAGUAGAAAUAGAUGAAAUUUUUAAUA
Non-coding RNA from Gossypium raimondii (Peruvian cotton), 145 nucleotides. NCBI's taxonomy places the organism in Eukaryota, Viridiplantae, Streptophyta, Magnoliopsida, Malvales, Malvaceae. The record is from Rfam.